AGAGUUUGAUCUUGGCUCAGAAUCAACGCUGGCGGCGUGCCUCAGACAUGCAAGUCGAACGAUUAAGACUCCCUUCGGGGAGUGUAUAAAGUGGCGCACGGGUGAGUAACACGUAAGUAAUCUACCUUCGAGUGGGGAAUAACGUCCGGAAACGGACGCUAAUACCGCAUAAUGCAGCGGCACCUAAUGGUGACAGUUGUUAAAGAUUUAUCGCUUGAAGAGGAGCUUGCGGCAGAUUAGCUAGUUGGUAAGGUAAUGGCUUACCAAGGCUACGAUCUGUAACCGGUCUAAGAGGACGGUCGGUCACACUGACACUGAAUAACGGGUCAGACUCCUACGGGAGGCAGCAGUCGGGAAUUUUGGGCAAUGGGCGAAAGCCUGACCCAGCAACGCCGCGUGAAGGAUGAAGUAUUUCGGUAUGUAAACUUCGAAAGAAUGGGAAGAAUCAAAUGACGGUACCAUUUAUAAGCUCCGGCUAACUACGUGCC
Molecule: ribosomal RNA, 488 nt
Filed under: uncultured Acidobacteriota bacterium
Lineage: Bacteria; Pseudomonadati; Acidobacteriota
Description: bacterial SSU rRNA
Rfam family: Bacterial small subunit ribosomal RNA
Source: RNAcentral